AGAGUUGAUCAUGGCUCAGGACGAACGCUGGCGGCGUGCUUAACACAUGCAAGUCGAGCGAUGAAGCUUCUCGGAAGUGGAUUAGCGGCGGACGGGUGAGUAACACGUGGGUAACCUGCCUCAUAGAGGGGAAUAGCCUUCCGAAAGGAAGAUUAAUACCGCAUAAGAUUGUAAUAUCGCAUGAUAUAGCAAUUAAAGGAGUAAUCCGCUAUGAGAUGGACCCGCGUCGCAUUAGCUAGUUGGUGAGGUAACGGCUCACCAAGGCGACGAUGCGUAGCCGACCUGAGAGGGUGAUCGGCCACAUUGGGACUGAGACACGGCCCAGACUCCUACGGGAGGCAGCAGUGGGGAAUAUUGCACAAUGGGGGAAACCCUGAUGCAAGCAACGCCGCGUGAGUGAUGACGGCCUUCGGGUUGUAAAGCUCUGUCUUCAGGGACGAUAAUGACGGUACCUGAGGAGGAAGCCACGGCUAACUACGUGCCAGCCGCUGC
Molecule: ribosomal RNA, 492 nt
Filed under: uncultured bacterium
Lineage: Bacteria
Description: bacterial SSU rRNA
Rfam family: Bacterial small subunit ribosomal RNA
Source: RNAcentral